GGUAAGCUUACUUUCGGGUAAGGAACGACCGGCGCACGGGUGCGUAACGCGUAUGCAACCUACCAAUUACAGGGGGAUAGCCCCGAGAAAUCGGGAUUAAUACCGCGUAAUACCCUAUAAUAGCAUUACUAAAGGGUUAAAGAUUUAUUGGUAAUUGAUGGGCAUGCGUAUGAUUAGCUAGAUGGUACGGUAACGGCGUACCAUGGCAACGAUCAUUAGCGGGUCUGAGAGGAUGAUCCGCCACACUGGGACUGAGACACGGCCCAGACUCCUACGGGAGGCAGCAGUAGGGAAUAUUGGUCAAUGGGGGAGACCCUGAACCAGCCAUGCCGCGUGCAGGAAGACGGCCUUCUGGGUUGUAAACUGCUUUUAUACGGGAAUAAAUAGCCCCUGCGGGGGAAGUUGCAUGUACCGUAUGAAUAAGCACCGGCUAACUCCGUGCCAGCAGCCGCGGUAAUACGGAGGGUGCAAGCGUUGUCCGGAUUUAUUGGGUUUAAAGGGUGCGUAGGCGGCCUGACAAGUCAGUGGUGAAAUCCUCCCGCUCAACGGGAGAACUGCCAUUGAAACUGUAAGGCUUGAGGACAGUCGAGGUAGGCGGAAUUUAUG
RNAcentral lists this ribosomal RNA (606 nucleotides) under uncultured bacterium. Its description in RNAcentral is "bacterial SSU rRNA". It matches the Rfam family "Bacterial small subunit ribosomal RNA", at positions 68 to 672 of the family's 1533-position model. The record is from RNAcentral.